ACAGACGAGCUGUGGGAAGCAGGAGGGAGACUCUCUCUUAGGGUGCCACUACUAUGGAGACACAGCUGGGCUGAACAAGAUUUGCUUCAAACGACAACAAGAGAGACAGAAAGUAUCUGGUUCAACCGCUGCCCGAGCAGGCAGGCACCAGAAGAGCUAGCAGCCAAUCCGGCCAUGCUCGAAGCCAGCUCUGCAGCUCAGCCAAUCAGUGACAUCAUUGCUUUCUUUAGCUUGCCCAUGGUGAUGUGAAGAUGAGAAGAAAUAGCAAGGCCCAACCAGUUCUUCAUCUGGAGACAGUUCAACGUUCUGCAAACCAGAUCUUCAGGAAUUUUACUGGGAUAAUUAUCCAAAUAAAUUGCAAGCAUUCUAUCCAAAUGGAGCUCUUUCUGAGAUGAAGAGAAUUCUCAAUGUCAAGAUUUGAACAAGAAGAGAAUGGAAUACACAAUAUGGACAUCCAUAAAAAUUCAUCAGAGAGCAUUUUACUACUGAGCUGCAAAGAUGACAAGAGCACCUCAAAGGCAGCAGCCUCAAGGAGCAGCCAUGGCCCCAGACUUGUCGCACGGAUGCAGAAAACUUAAUGGAGGAGGCUGAGGUCAGAAUGGGAAGAGUUUUUAAAAAAUAAAAAGGGGAGCUAA
This 635-nucleotide long non-coding RNA is filed under the name Homo sapiens (human). RNAcentral describes it as "non-protein coding MIR99AHG:52". The record is from RNAcentral. Lineage: Eukaryota; Metazoa; Chordata; Mammalia; Primates; Hominidae.